UUCCGUAGGGUGAACCUGCGGAGGGAUCAUUACCGAGUUUACAACUCCCAAACCCAAUGUGAACGUUACCAAACUGUUGCCUCGGCGGGAUCUCUGCCCCGGGUGCGUCGCAGCCCCGGACCAAGGCGCCCGCCGGAGGACCAACCAAAACUCUUAUUGUAUACCCCCUCGCGGGUUUUUUUAUAAUCUGAGCCUUCUCGGCGCCUCUCGUAGGCGUUUCGAAAAUGAAUCAAAACUUUCAACAACGGAUCUCUUGGUUCUGGCAUCGAUGAAGAACGCAGCGAAAUGCGAUAAGUAAUGUGAAUUGCAGAAUUCAGUGAAUCAUCGAAUCUUUGAACGCACAUUGCGCCCGCCAGUAUUCUGGCGGGCAUGCCUGUCCGAGCGUCAUUUCAACCCUCGAACCCCUCCGGGGGGUCGGCGUUGGGGAUCGGCCCUGCCUUGGCGGUGGCCGUCUCCGAAAUACAGUGGCGGUCUCGCCGCAGCCUCUCCUGCGCAGUAGUUUGCACACUCGCAUCGGGAGCGCGGCGCGUCCACAGCCGUUAAACACCCAACUUCUGAAAUGUGACCUCGAUCAAAGAGACAGAA
Molecule: ribosomal RNA, 585 nt
Filed under: Trichoderma harzianum
Lineage: Eukaryota; Fungi; Ascomycota; Sordariomycetes; Hypocreales; Hypocreaceae
Description: partial 18S ribosomal RNA
Rfam family: 5.8S ribosomal RNA (bases 234-387)
Source: RNAcentral